Molecule: ribosomal RNA, 253 nt
Filed under: uncultured bacterium
Lineage: Bacteria
Description: partial 16S ribosomal RNA
Rfam family: Bacterial small subunit ribosomal RNA
Source: RNAcentral
UACAGAGGUCUCAAGCGUUGUUCGGAUUCAUUGGGCGUAAAGGGUGUGUAGGUGGCGCCGUAAGUCGGGUGUGAAAUUUCGGAGCUUAACUCCGAAACUGCAUUCGAUACUGCGGUGCUUGAGGACUGGAGAGGAGACUGGAAUUCAUGGUGUAGCAGUGAAAUGCGUAGAGAUCAUGAGGAAGACCAGUGGCGAAGGCGGCGCUCUGGGCCGGAACUGACGCUGAGGAGCGAAAGCGUGGGUAGCAAACAGG